GACGAACGCUGGCGGCGUGCUUAACACAUGCAAGUCGAACGGAAAGGCCCUGCUUUUGUGGGGUGCUCGAGUGGCGAACGGGUGAGUAACACGUGAGUAACCUUCCUUUGACUUUGGGAUAACUUCAGGAAACUGGGGCUAAUACCGGUUAGGAGCUCCUGCUGCAUGGUGGGGGUUGGAAAGUUUCGGCGGUUGGGGUUGGACUCGCGGCUUAUCAGCUUGUUGGUGGGGUAGUGGCUGACCAAGGCUUUGACGGGUAGCCGGCCUGAGAGGGUGACCGGCCACAAUAGGACUGAGAGACGGCCCAGACUCCAACGGGAGGCAGCAGUGGAGAAUAUUGCACAAUGAGCGGAAGCCUGAGACGGCGACGCUGCGUGCGGAAUGAAGGCCUGCGGGUUGUAAACCGCUUUCGCCUGUGACGAAGCGUGAGUGACGGUAAUGGGUGAAGAAGCACCGGCUAACUACGUG
This 468-nucleotide ribosomal RNA is filed under the name uncultured bacterium. Its description in RNAcentral is "partial 16S ribosomal RNA". It matches the Rfam family "Bacterial small subunit ribosomal RNA", at positions 28 to 507 of the family's 1533-position model. The record is from RNAcentral.